CUCAGGAUGAACGCUAGCGGGAGGCCUAACACAUGCAAGCCGAGCGGUAGAGAUUCUUCGGAAUCUUGAGAGCGGCGUACGGGUGCGGAACACGUGUGCAACCUGCCUUUAUCUGGGGGAUAGCCUUUCGAAAGGAAGAUUAAUACCCCAUAAUAUAUUGAGUGGCAUCACUUAAUAUUGAAAACUCCGGUGGAUAGAGAUGGGCACGCGCAAGAUUAGAUAGUUGGUGAGGUAACGGCUCACCAAGUCUACGAUCUUUAGGGGGCCUGAGAGGGUGAUCCCCCACACUGGUACUGAGACACGGACCAGACUCCUACGGGAGGCAGCAGUGAGGAAUAUUGGACAAUGGGUGAGAGCCUGAUCCAGCCAUCCCGCGUGAAGGACGACGGCCCUAUGGGUUGUAAACUUCUUUUGUAUAGGGAUAAACCUAGAUACGUGUAUCUAGCUGAAGGUACUAUACGAAUAAGCACCGGCUAACUCCGUGCCAGCAGCCGCGGUAAUACGGAGGGUGCAAGCGUUAUCCGGAUUUAUUGGGUUUAAAGGGUCCGUAGGCGGAUCUGUAAGUCAGUGGUGAAAUCUCACAGCUUAACUGUGAAACUGCCAUUGAUACUGCAGGUCUUGAGUGUUGUUGAAGUAGCUGGAAUAAGUAGUGUAGCGGUGAAAUGCAUAGAUAUUACUUAGAACACCAAUUGCGAAGGCAGGUUACUAAGCAACAACUGACGCUGAUGGACGAAAGCGUGGGGAGCGAACAGGAUUAGAUACCCUGGUAGUCCACGCCGUAAACGAUGCUAACUCGUUUUUGGAUUUUCGGAUUCAGAGACUAAGCG
Molecule: ribosomal RNA, 827 nt
Filed under: Chryseobacterium sp.
Lineage: Bacteria; Pseudomonadati; Bacteroidota; Flavobacteriia; Flavobacteriales; Weeksellaceae
Description: bacterial SSU rRNA
Rfam family: Bacterial small subunit ribosomal RNA
Source: RNAcentral